This 409-nucleotide ribosomal RNA is filed under the name uncultured bacterium. RNAcentral's name for it is "bacterial SSU rRNA". It matches the Rfam family "Bacterial small subunit ribosomal RNA", at positions 391 to 793 of the family's 1533-position model. The record is from RNAcentral.
GCCAUGCCGCGUGUGUGAAGAAGGCCUUCGGGUUGUAAAGCACUUUCAGUAGGGAGGAAGGUAGUGUAGUUAACACCUGCAUUAUUUGACGUUACCUACAGAAGAAGCACCGGCUAACUCCGUGCCAGCAGCCGCGGUAAUACGGAGGGUGCGAGCGUUAAUCGGAAUUACUGGGCGUAAAGCGCAUGCAGGCGGCCUGUUAAGUCAGAUGUGAAAGCCCGGGGCUCAACCUCGGAAUUGCAUUUGAAACUGGCAGACUAGAGUACUGUAGAGGGGGUAGAAUUUCAGGUGUAGCGGUGAAAUGCGUAGAGAUCUGAAGGAAUACCGGUGGCGAAGGCGGCCCCCUGGACAGAUACUGACACUCAGAUGCGAAAGCGUGGGGAGCAAACAGGAUUAGAUACCCUGGUAG